GGGAAUAAAACUUCACGGAAAGGCAAAACCAUUCUAAUGAAUAUCCAACGCUCAUGACUUCAAAUUGUUGGACAUGACUAAAAUAUCCAAAUCAGCGGUCAGCAUGAUAGACUCUUGGCACGUGGGUUGGAUUUGGCGAUCACCUCAGCUCUUUUUUCCAAAGUUCCCUCCAACAACAUAUAUAUAGAAUGACCAACAGCCAGCAGACAUCAGCGCAUCAGAUGCCAUCUUAAAGAUGGUACUAAACUGUUAAACCAAGGAGCUGCUUCGCCGCUAACACAACUUGAAUCUGCAGGAUAGAGACACUAUCAAAAAAUACAUUUUUAGAGCAGAAGACAAGGUAUUAAGCACACUUUCUUGUUAAUUCUAACACCCAUAGCAAAACUGAGACUUUCUACAGAAGCGACUUUACAUCUUGUUUCCAUUUUAAUAAACUAUGUCUACUUUUUUCUAUUUUCUUAGGUAAGGAAAAUAGCAAUGUAUUGACCCUCGGUGAAUUUGGUUUAUUUAAAGAAAACAAGGCAUUUGGAGUGCCCUGGCAAAUUAAAACUUCAAGCAUCAAUACUGCUUUGGAAAACGAAUGAGAUGUUCAUAAAUUAUGGUUUGUUAAAACAUAAAUGUAAUAUUUUCUUUCUGAGGCGUUG
Molecule: long non-coding RNA, 644 nt
Organism: Cimex lectularius (bed bug)
Lineage: Eukaryota; Metazoa; Arthropoda; Insecta; Hemiptera; Cimicidae
Exons: 3
Source: RefSeq, a predicted model, not a curated record